This 253-nucleotide ribosomal RNA is filed under the name uncultured bacterium. RNAcentral describes it as "partial 16S ribosomal RNA". It matches the Rfam family "Bacterial small subunit ribosomal RNA", at positions 524 to 775 of the family's 1533-position model. The record is from RNAcentral.
UACGUAGGGUGCGAGCGUUGUCCGGAAUUAUUGGGCGUAAAGAGCUUGUAGGCGGUUUGUCGCGUCUGCCGUGAAAAUUCGAGGCUCAACCUCGAACUUGCGGUGGGUACGGGCAGACUAGAGUGUGGUAGGGGAGGACUGGAAGUUCCUGGUGUAGCGGUGAAAUGCGCAGAGUAUCAGGAGGAACACCGAUGGCGAAGGCAGGUCUCUGGGCCACUACUGACUGAGAAGCGAAAGCAUGGGGAGCAACAGG